GUAGGGAAUAUUGGGCAAUGGAUGCAAGUCUGACCCAGCCAUGCCGCGUGGAGGAAGAAGGUCCUCUGGAUUGUAAACUCCUUUUUUGGGGGAAGAAUAGUUCUCUUGCGAGGGAAUGUGACGGUACCCUAAGAAUAAGCCACGGCUAACUACGUGCCAGCAGCCGCGGUAAUACGUAGGUGGCAAGCGUUGUCCGGAUUUAUUGGGUUUAAAGGGUGCGUAGGUGGUUUGAUAAGUCAGUGGUGAAAGCUGGUUGCUCAACAAUCAAGUUGCCAUUGAUACUGUCGGACUUGAGAGAAGGGUAGGUUCAGGGAAUGGAUGGUGUAGCGGUGAAAUGCAUAGAUAUCAUCCAGAACGUCGAUUGCGAAGGCAGUGGGCUGUACUUUAUCUGACACUGAGGCACGAAAGUGUGGGGAUCAAACAGGAUUAGAAACCCGGGUAGUCC
RNAcentral lists this ribosomal RNA (445 nucleotides) under uncultured bacterium. RNAcentral's name for it is "partial 16S ribosomal RNA". It matches the Rfam family "Bacterial small subunit ribosomal RNA", at positions 354 to 796 of the family's 1533-position model. The record is from RNAcentral.